GUCGCACGAGAAAGGGGAGCAAUCCCUGAGUAAAGUGGCGCACGGGUGAGUAACACGUGAAUUAUCUACCUCCGAGUGGGGAAUAACUGAGAGAAAUCUUAGCUAAUACCGCAUAACACUUACGAGUCAAAGCAGCAAUGCGCUUGGAGAGGAGUUCGCGGCCGAUUAGUUAGUUGGCGGGGUAAUGGCCCACCAAGACGAUGAUCGGUAUCCGGCCUGAGAGGGCGCACGGACACACUGGAACUGAAACACGGUCCAGACUCCUACGGGAGGCAGCAGUGGGGAAUUUUGCGCAAUGGGGGAAACCCUGACGCAGCAACGCCGCGUGGAGGAUGAAAUAUCUUGGUAUGUAAACUCCUUUCGAUGGGGAAGAUUAUGACGGUACCCAUAGAAGAAGCCCCGGCUAACUUCGUGCCAGCAGCCGCGGUAAUACGAGGGGGGCAAGCGUUGUUCGGAUUUAUUGGGCGUAAAGGGUGCGUAGGCGGUUUGGCAAGUCUUAUGUGAAAUCUUCGGGCUCAACCCGAAGCCUGCAUAAGAAACUGCCGGGCUUGAGUAUGGGAGAGGUGAGUGGAAUUUCCGGUGUAGCGGUGAAAUGCGUAGAUAUCGGAAGGAACACCUGUGGCGAAAGCGGCUCACUGGACCAUAACUGACGCUGAUGCACGAAAGCUAGGGGAGCAAACAGGAUUAGAUACCCUGGUAGUCCUAGCCCUAAACGAUGAUUGCUUGGUGUGGCA
RNAcentral lists this ribosomal RNA (734 nucleotides) under uncultured Acidobacteriota bacterium. Its description in RNAcentral is "bacterial SSU rRNA". It matches the Rfam family "Bacterial small subunit ribosomal RNA", at positions 61 to 827 of the family's 1533-position model. Lineage: Bacteria; Pseudomonadati; Acidobacteriota. The record is from RNAcentral.